This 369-nucleotide unclassified non-coding RNA is filed under the name Hevea brasiliensis (rubber tree). The record is from RNAcentral. Lineage: Eukaryota; Viridiplantae; Streptophyta; Magnoliopsida; Malpighiales; Euphorbiaceae.
UAUUCUUUUUGAAGAAAAAAAAAAAUUGUUAUACUCUUUUUUUUCUCCUAUGCUAAAGCAAAUGAUAGAUGUAUCGUUUGAUAGCAUUUAUCUUUAAAGAAAGUUAUUUCUAUGUGUUAAUCCAAUAAAUCCUUCCACAGAACUACAGUUAAAAUGUAAUUACGUAAAAUUGUAACUUUAUUAGUAUAGUAUGUCCAAGAAGAAUGAAAUCCCAAUGGUUUUUCAUGCCUUUACAACCAAUAUCUUAUAAGAUGAAUGGAUCCUUUAUAUGCUAUUAUGUUCAGUUAUAAGUGGCUUUCUGUGAGUAAUACGAUUGUCGAAAAUUUACUUGAAUGUAUUAUGGGCAGCAAUUAUUAUUCCUGAGCAAAG